CUCUACGAUACGGGAGGAACACGGCAACCCAAUAGAAGUAGAAGGCCCAUGGCUAACCCUAGCAUCAGCCCAGACAGGAGCUUGCACGAGCGUACCGCCGCCACUGGAUAAUCCUCCCCGCCGGCCGCCGCCACAGACUGGAGUCGCUCGCCGCCUGUAGUGGGUCGCCGGCGCCGCCUGGAAUUGCCUCGCUGCUACCUCGGCCCUCGGUUGACUCGAAUCUUCUUCAGCACCAUCGUCAGUCGUGAUCCAUUCAUGUUUUUUUUCUUCUUCAAUGACUCUGGUCCCUGUUCUUGUUACGAACGGAGUGGACGAUGCUUGGCUGGCUGGUUAGUUCUUGCAGAUUACUGCUAUACUACUACUUCCUAGUUCCUAGUACUUGCUGAUGUUACUGCUUAGCAUAGGUGCAUACUACUGCUUGCUUUAGUACUGCUUGUUUGAUACUGCUUGCUAGUUUGGAACAAGGAAUUGUAUAUUCAUUUGGCCAGCUCAAGCCAAUUUGUUUAACAUUUUUCACUUUUCAUGUCUAUUUAUCUUAAAUUGACAAAGUGUAAUAUCAUAUAAUGUAUUUUCUGUUUUGCAUACACCAUGAUAAGGAACCUAGAUGAUCAUUUAGGACUUGAAAAGAGGCAUGGAGGAAAUCAGGCAACCAAUGGGGCAGUAUUCUGAUCUCAUCUCACACAUCCUAUAUCAUGCUUUGUCUUUAUUACUUGUUAUUUUAUAUAUUAUUAUUUACAUAUACUUGCCGUAUCGCUGUAUUGCUGUUUCAAAAAAUUACCAUAUCCCGUAUCACCAUACUCGUAUCGUCGUAUUCGUGUCGCCGUAUCCGUGUCGCCGUAUCGGUGCUUCAUAGGUCGUCAAUCCUCCCGCAAAAGUGCAAAUCAACCUGUGGUUGAGUUGGUUAGGUGGACAGUGGUAUCUUCAACCCACCAGGGUUCAAAUCCUGGUGCUCGCAUUAUUCCUGGAUUUAUUUCAGGAUUUCCGGCGAUGCGCUUUCAGUGGGAGGAGACGUUCCCGUCGACGACUAGGCGCCUACGGUGACUUCGUAAAUUUCAAAAUGAUAUGCCGGCUCAGUCUCUCGGAGGUGCUCAUAGGGGUAGGGUGUGCGUGUGUGCGUUCAUAGAGGUGAGUGUAUGCGCGUGUAUAUGAGCACUUGUGUUUGUACUGAUGCUAAAAAAAAAAUCCUCCCGCGAAAGUCACGAAGCUCUGCCCUCUCCCUCGAAAGGGAAAGAGUAGCUCGACCGAGCAAACCGAUUCAUGGCGACGGCGGCGUGUCCUCUCCCUCACCGGUGUCUGCUCCUCCUCCAUCUGGCCCUCCUCGCUUUCCUGCUGGCGGCGGCCCCGGCGGCCGAGGCGUGGACGGGGGAGAUCCGCGGCCGCGUCGUCUGCGACGUCUGCGCCGACUCUGCCAUCGGGCCCGAGGACCACGUCCUCGAAGGUCAGCCCAACGAGCCUCUCCCCUCCUUCGGAUUUAUCUAGUUGCUAUCGACGCCCUCUGUGCUCUCGUGGUCACCGAGCUAGAUUUCGUGCGACCGCGCUUCCGUGGAUCUCGGUUCAGCUGUUUUGGAUCACGAAAUUUCGUUGGUCUGGGGGUUGGCACGUUAAGCAGAGUAGCAAAUUUCGCUCUAGUGGUAAUUCUUCUGUGGACUGCGUAGAGUGCUUUUGGUAUCAUUCAGUGCAAAUUUCCGUGGGAAAUUCUGGUGGAAUUUUUAGUCUCUGUUAGGCGCGUAGGAAGCGAGAAUCAUACAGGGACGGGGUAGUUGGUUACUGGUCAUCUGAUCUAGAAAUGAAAAUCGGACAUAGGUAACUGGAGCAAAUUUUGUGUGUGUUCAGUAGGUUGUCUAUUUGUAUUCGACAAUCUAGGCUCUUGUGUUAAGCUAGUGAGGAGCAUAGAUAGACACACAUCAUACUCUUAGUUCGGAUUUGGUGGGGUGAGGAAAACCUAUGAGCCGUUAUCUGUAUCUCACUCUAAGGCUGUUCUAUUUCUAGCAAAAGGACCGAAGAAGAAAAAAAAGGAAAAAGGGUCUAUACAUGUUUUGGAAAUGUAUGUAAGUGGAUAAAGUGCUUCCCAUUGCUGUCGGAACAAAUUAAAUUACAGGGAACCUGUUUAACUCGAAACAUGUACUGUAAUUGAGGUGAACUUAACUCGUAAGAUACGGUUUAUGAAAGUGCCCACAGAAUUCCCUUAAUGGGGAAGUGUUACUGGUCUUCCUCUGUACACUAGGUAGCAGGUAACCCUCAGGUUCCAGUGUCCAUUGUUUUGACAUUUCUACCUUCUAUAAUAAGAACAAAUUACAGUUCCAGGCUUCUGACUAAGCAAGCUAUUAAGGAUAGCUAAAUAUGACUAUAUAUGAAUGUACUGCGUCCAAUACAAUAUCACCCUUGCUAAGUAGUCUUGCUGGAGCUUGUCCUUGUAUAUAUUUAGAUGAUGUGUAAAUUGUAGCCUAAUUUUCCUGACGUGUCUACUGCCAUGCACAAAGGAAACUAAAGAUCAAAAUUCAAAACUAUUUUAUAUAAGUUGUUUUGGUGUCCAUAUAGGUGUGUGUAUCGGCUUGCAGGGAGAUGAUGCAUCUCCCAAUGUAUGAAAGGAUCGUAAUUGGUCGAGUACAUGUAAGAUUAUGUACGUGACUAAAUGUCUAUGGAACAUCCGAAUGCAUCUGGAAAGACAAAUUGGUAUCCACUCUUUCAAUUUUUUCCUUCAGUGUUCAGUUUGCUAAAGUUGCAACUAUGAACGGUAUGCCAGAAGUUAAUAGUGCUUCUGUUGGAUGAUCCUAGUUUUUAAUCCACAUGCACAAAGUCUUAUGAAGUCUCAGUGGGCCUGUCCAUGUCAGUCUAAUUAUGAAAAGUCACAAUACAACUCAAAUACAGAAUUAGAUACGUGCAUGUGCGCAAAUCUCUAAGCAUUUGGAUUGCUAAGAUAAAGGGAUCAUGAGUGCCCAAGCUCGUUUUGCAUUGACUGAUUAACUGUACUCUUGAUCAAUGGACAGACUUUUUGAAUCAGAGACUACCGAAACCGUGGACAAUUCUAGUGAAAUGCAGGGGAGUACUUGUGAUGCAUGGCGAAUAGGGAUACCUUCAAUAGAUUUUAGAUGCUUUUAUGGCCUUUUUUUUUGUACAACAUGUACUUGUUAUGGCCUUUGAAUUUGGUUAGUGGAGGUACAUGGUAGUCCUGGGAACUGGGAUUGGAUCACAUGGGAUAACAGAGAGGUGAAGCAUCACUCUCCAGGUUUCUGUGGGCUUGUCCCAGCCAAAGCUUAGAGUCUCUGAAAAUUGCUUAGGGUUUGACGUUUUAAGUAUCACAUACCAAAUAGAUUGCAUGGACUGGAUUUGCAUAAUAGCAUGUACCAAGUAAUCAGGCUAAGACAUGAACUGUCUCACCUUUUUUUUUUGAACCGGGCUAACCCCCUUUCCAUUUAAUCAAAUGGAAAUACAUCAGUGUCAGAGUUUAAACAGGGGACAGGAAAGAGGAAGCAAGUUCAACGAACUGCUAGGAAAGCCAACUGCAUACGCUCGAUAUAGGAACAUACACUAUGGGGGUGAAAACCUAGACAGCACCAAAAUAAAUUAGUCCUAUCACAAGCCAGAGAACAUAAUAAGUAAGGUCUUAAACUUUAGCAAACCCACAAGCGGGUUCCAGGAACCAAAUGCAACAACAUAACUACCCAAAAGAAUCUCCAAGGACAAGGAGUCACACAGGCUUCACUCCUUCGAUAGGCCUCUGAGUUGCCUCGCAAAUCCUCAUCAAGUUCAUCGUGUUAGAGCGAAGAAGCUCUGCUCCAGUCCUGAGUAUCUUCGCAUUGCCCUCCUUCUGAAGACCUGCCCACUAGAUAAGAAAAGAGCAAGUAGUGAAGACAAUCUCAAAAGCGGCCUUGAUCAUUUUAUGCUCGAAGGUUGCUCAGUUUCAAGCAUUUCAUAUAUCCAAGUAAUGGCCACCAGGCCAACAGUAUAGAGUUUUUCCCCAUCAGGCAGAAAAAAUUAGCACCAGGAGAGAUACUGCGAACCGUUAUUAGCACAUAAAGUCAGUAUCCAGAACAAACCCAACAGUUCUCCAGACAACACGAGCAACCGAACAAGUAUAGAAAAGAUGCUAAGAAGACUCAACGUCUUUGCAAAAAGAGCAACAAGGGUUACCAGGCCAUUUCCUUUGCUUCAUGACCUGCCUUGUCAAAACAGCAUUCUGGAACAUUUUUGCCACAGAAAAUUUGGAUUUUCAAAGGCAACUUUGCAUCCCAAAUCCAUUUAUAGCUACAUCCACUAAGAGGUCUCUCCAACCAUUUAUACAUGGACUUAGUCGAAUACUUAGCAUUCUUAAUGGACUGACUCACCUAGCACAACUAGGUUACAAGUUGCUUACUAUAAGACGAAAUGGUUGGUGUUUCUCUGCCAUAUACUACUUGAAAAGGAGUGCUCCGCAAGGAUGUCUGGAAGUAAGAAUGACUUGAAAUCUUUUCUUCCAGCAACAUAUUUACCAUCAAUUUGAUGGCAUGAAAGCCUGUCGUAAUGCAGACAAAUGUUGUAAGCAUAUGCUAAAGACAGCCAUGAACCUUUUGCUCAUCAAACAUAAAUCCGUAAAUCAGUAAGAAAUCUGGGAACAUGUGUUGCUUGUUCUGGUCCUGUCAAUGGAUGAACCAGACAAAGCAUUAACACCAAUGAGAAGGAAGUUUAGGAGCCAAAAGAAAAAGCAUGCACCUAUUGAGAUUCCUAGAUUUUGCUACUGCACUCCCCGGUGGCCAUCCCUCUCUACCCAGGGGCAAUGGUGAACCUGUGUGGUGAUGGUAGAAACCUCAGUGUCCCCACCACAAAUUCGCGGAGUCCAUUUACUGGAGUUAGUCGCUGUCAUCAAUUCACAGGUUACCCCUCUGGUCUCUCCAUCCUGCUCCUCUUACUGCUUCUUCCUCCCCUUCCGCUUCUUCUUUUAAAAAAGUUCUCCCAACCAUCAUACUGAACUGGCACUCAUCAUUCUGCCGGCGUAGAUUGUUCCACGGCAUGGGUACAGGCAUAAUUUCGGCAAUUCAACCACUACAUCAAAAAAUCAAAUUGGAUGAGAGUGAGUGGCGGUUGAAUCAGCCAUUUUGGAAAUUCAGGUAAGCCAAUUUGGUAAUUCAACCACCCACGAAAAAACAAAUCGAGAUGAAAAUGCGAAUGGAGGUGAGCCCAGGUGUCUAGGAUGGGUUUUGGCAAGAAAAUUAGGAAAAUUUCAGAAUGUUUACAUGCGAUCAAAGUGUAUUGGAAAAUGUUAGUGUGAAUCAAAGUGGCGAUCUUUAGGUGGUACCAAACUAAAAAGGAAUUAUACCUUGAACCUUGUCUGUGCCUGACACUGCUCAAGCACACAUGUACUGCCGGUCUUUUACUAAUUCCAUUUUGUUUUCUUUGCUUCGGAUUGUUCAUUGUGCCGCAUACAAUUAAAGUUUCUGCGGGAUAAUCUCUCUUGUUCUCCUCUUGCUCAUGUAUGUCUUUGUGACUGUCUCUAUAGGCGCUGAGGUUGCUGUUCUGUGCAUCACGAAAUCUGGUGAGGUCAUCAACUACCAGGCGUUCACAAACUACAAGGGCGUCUACAGCGUUGCAGAGACGAUGCCUGAGAGCGACCGAUGGGAUUCGUGCCUGGCAAGGCCCAUCAGCAGCUUCCACCAGCAUUGCACCAGGAGGGGCGACGCACACUCUGGGGUCAAGUUCACAUACAACAAACAGUCAGGGAGCUCGCACAACGUCAAGACGUUCCUCUACAAGCCUGCCAACGUUCCUCUGUACUGUAGCUGAAAUCUAUAGGAUGGGUUCAUGCCCGGGCUUGAUGUUGUAAGAUCUGAAUAGGGAAAGUGUUGGUCGACCCGUAUGCUUGUAACGAUCUGCCCAUCUAGAGUUAUUGCCCAUGUUAGUCAUUUGAAGGGGGUCGGAUGUUGAAUGUGUAAUUAUUGUAAAUCACUAUAAUAUGUUUCUCAGCCAUAUACAUAUAAUCAAUAAAUAUGUACAAGUAGUUUUAUUUUCA
RNAcentral lists this ribosomal RNA (5983 nucleotides) under Triticum aestivum (bread wheat). RNAcentral describes it as "partial small subunit ribosomal RNA". Lineage: Eukaryota; Viridiplantae; Streptophyta; Magnoliopsida; Poales; Poaceae. The record is from RNAcentral.